Molecule: ribosomal RNA, 429 nt
Filed under: uncultured prokaryote
Also listed under: 1 other name
Description: bacterial SSU rRNA
Rfam family: Bacterial small subunit ribosomal RNA
Source: RNAcentral
UUAGGAAUAUUCGUCAAUGGGGGAAACCCUGAACGAGCAAUGCCGCGUGAGUGAUGACAGUUCUCUGAAUUGUAAAGCUCUGUUGUAUGGGAAGAACAGUCGAAUUAGGAAAUGAAUUCGAUCUGACGGUACCAUGCCAGAAAGCUCCGGCAAACUACGUGCCAGCAGCCGCGGUAAUACGUAGGGAGCGAGCGUUAUCCGGAUUUAUUGGGUGUAAAGGGUGUGUAGGCGGUUUAUUAAGUAUAAGAUUAAAGCCUGGGGCUUAACUCCAGUUCGUUUUAUAAACUGAUAGACUUGAGUAUGGUAGAGGUAAAUGGAAUUUCUAGUGUAGCGGUAAAAUGUGUAGAUAUUAGAAGGAACAUCAGUGGCGAAGGCGAUUUACUGGGCCAUUACUGACGCUGAGACACGAAAGCGUGGGGAGCAAAUAGG